Molecule: RNA transcript, 2154 nt
Organism: Physella acuta
Lineage: Eukaryota; Metazoa; Mollusca; Gastropoda; Physidae
Gene name: isocitrate dehydrogenase [NAD] subunit gamma, mitochondrial
Source: RefSeq, a predicted model, not a curated record
UGUAUCCAACAUGGCGGCCAACUUGCGGUCAGUAAUCGGUCAAAAAAUCAUUGUAAGGACAAAAGCAUUAUUUCAGAAACCUGCUGUGUGUGAUAGUAAAAGCCUCGCUGCAACAUGUCACCUCACCCAGAACAGGGAAUAUUCCCUGGCUCCGCAAACAGUUUCAGAACAGUCUGAGGCCUUGGCAAAGUAUGGAGGAAGACACACAGUGACACUUAUGACAGGAGAUGGUGUCGGGCCAGAGCUUUUAUCACAUGUACAGGAGAUUUUCAGAUAUGCUGGUGCUCCAAUAGACUUUGAAAUAGUUGAGAUAAAUUCAUCCACAAACACACCAAUUGACAUGCACAAUGCAUUGCUUUCUGUCAGAAGGAAUGGAGUGGCAUUAAAAGGUAACAUAGAGACUAAAUUUGAUGAUCCUUCAUUCAAAUCUAUGAAUGUUGCUCUGAGAACAUCUUUAGAGCUCUUUGCAAGUGUGGUCAAGUGCAAAUCUAUUCCUGGUAUCAAUGUAAGGCAUAAAGAUGUUGAUUGUGUUCUCAUAAGAGAGAAUACAGAGGGAGAAUACAGGCAGUUGGAACAUGAGAAUGUUCCAGGUGUUGUUGAAAGCUUAAAAAUUAUCACAGCUGAGAAAAGCACAAAAAUAGCAAAAUUUGCGUUUGACUAUGCAGUACGUCAUGGUCGCAAAAAAGUUACAGCCAUUCACAAAGCUAAUAUUAUGAAACUGGGUGAUGGCCUGUUCCUGGAGUGUUGUAGAGCUGUGGCUAAAAGCUACCCCGACAUAGAGUUCAAUGAUCUCAUUAUUGACAAUGCCAGCAUGCAAAUGGUGGCUCGUCCUAGUCAGUUUGAUGUUUUGUGUAUGCCUAAUUUGUAUGGAAACAUACUCAGUAACAUCGCCUCUGGAUUAAUUGGUGGUGCUGGACUAGCAGCUGGAAUGAAUCUUGGAGAUAAAUAUGCUGUCUUUGAAUCAGGUACUCGCAAUUCUGGGCGAUCAAUGAGAGGUAAAAAUAUUGCUAACCCAACUGGAAUACUUUUUGCUAGCUGUGACAUGUUGGAUUACUUAGGGCAUUUUGAACAUGCUAAACUCAUUCGUGACUCAGUGAUGACAGUACUUACAGAGAAAGAGAUCAGAACUCCAGAUAUCGGAGGUAACGCCACCACAUUGGAUGUUGUUAAGGCCAUUAUAGAUGAUGUCAAACCAAAAACUUUAGCUUGGAGCUAUUGAGACGAGCAUGGUACACAUUUCACUUAAAAUAGUUUUCUGGGUUUUUUUUUUCAUUUUGUAAGAUGUGUAAAUAUUGUUAGGGUUGAACAUCACCAGAGAAAUCACAACUCAUUAUUUGAAUAUGUCAUAUUGAUACCAAGUGAACAUUUCAGGCAUUGAAUCAAAUGUUCUUUUCAUAUCUGUAAAAACAUGCAUUAGUUACAAUAAAUUAUGUAUAUUACUAAUACACUAAGAAAAUAUUUACUUAGUUUUAUAUGUUUUAUAUUGAGACUGAUUGUUUAAUAAUUAUAGUGUAAUUAAAAAAUGGUUCCAGCCUGGCUUUAUUUAACAUUGAAAACUGCCAGAUCUUAAAUCAUGUUGUCUUGAUGGUAUAACUUUCAAGUGUAAGUUAUUGAUUAAUUUAUUUUCUUAUAUACAUCAUUCUUUGAGGAAAAUACAGCACCAUAGGAAAUGAGUAUCACUGUUGCUAGUCUUUCAAUAUCCAAAUAUGCAUGUGUGUAGUCCUCAAUUUAAAAUUAAAAAAAAAAUUAUUACAUUUUGUAAUAAUUUUGACCUAGAUACUCAAACAAUUUUUGUCAUUGUUCCAUCAAUUCAAUGACAAUAAAAAGUGUAAGAAUAGAACAAUGCCAAAGGAGACUAGAGUAACUGGUGUUCUCUAAGCCCUGGUGAACUACUGAGUCUGUUAACUGACAGUUGGCUGAGGUAACUCUCCCUACAUCAGCUCAGACAUCAGCUAUCUCUGGAUGUUACUGAGAGUAUUUAUUAACUGCACUGUCCUGUUAUGUCCAAUGGAUGGCCUAAAUACAUAUGCAAUAAUUGCUGAAGCUUUGUAACUAACACAUGUCCAAGGAUAAAUGUAUUGCUCAAAAUUAUUUUAAAUGGAAUCUCACACACAAUGUCUUGAAUAUAAAACUAAAUUAAAAACCUAACAAACA